RNAcentral lists this long non-coding RNA (377 nucleotides) under Rattus norvegicus (Norway rat). Its description in RNAcentral is "long non-coding RNA NONRATT008443". Lineage: Eukaryota; Metazoa; Chordata; Mammalia; Rodentia; Muridae. The record is from RNAcentral.
UGAGGCAGCAGGAUCACAGUGAAUUUGAGCCAAUCUGGAGUCUUGCUCAGGUCUACACCAGCUGUCUGGAAACUAACAGGCUGUGUUAAACUGCGAUCAAACUGAUCUCCGAGUCAUGAUCCUUCUGCCUCAGCCUCCCAAACGCUAGGGUUACAGGGAUGGAGACGCUGCAGCCAGCUGUUGAUGAGCACUGAACAACAAUCUUGCCAAGAGAUCGAGUCAUCCAGUGUGAGGUGGCUUGAAUAUUUCGAAAGUGCCAUUUUACCCAGUGUGGCCAGUCACGCGAACAUACAUCACCCAACACGCCCACAUUUUGGUUGUUUCUUUAAAUAAAUAAUAAAAAAGGCUUCAUUUUCAUCUUUAACAGUAAGUACUAA